AUUGAACGCUGGCGGCAUGCCUUACACAUGCAAGUCGAACGGUAACAGGUCUUCGGAUGCUGACGAGUGGCGAACGGGUGAGUAAUACAUCGGAACGUGCCGAGUAGUGGGGGAUAACUACUCGAAAGAGUGGCUAAUACCGCAUGAGAUCUACGGAUGAAAGCAGGGGAUCGCAAGACCUUGUGCUACUAGAGCGGCCGGUGGCAGAUUAGGUAGUUGGUGGGAUAAAAGCUUACCAAGCCGACGAUCUGUAGCUGGUCUGAGAGGACGAUCAGCCACACUGGGACUGAGACACGGCCCAGACUCCUACGGGAGGCAGCAGUGGGGAAUUUUGGACAAUGGGCGCAAGCCUGAUCCAGCAAUGCCGCGUGCAGGAUGAAGGCCUUCGGGUUGUAAACUGCUUUUGUACGGAACGAAAAGCCCCAGGUUAAUACCCUGGGGUCAUGACGGUACCGUAAGAAUAAGCACCGGCUAACUACGUGCCAGCAGCCGCAGUAA
RNAcentral lists this ribosomal RNA (498 nucleotides) under uncultured bacterium. RNAcentral's name for it is "partial 16S ribosomal RNA". It matches the Rfam family "Bacterial small subunit ribosomal RNA", at positions 30 to 523 of the family's 1533-position model. The record is from RNAcentral.